GACGAACGCUGGCGGCGUGCUUAACACAUGCAAGUCGAACGCUGAAGCCUGGCUUUUGUUGGGUGGAUGAGUGGCGAACGGGUGAGUAACACGUGAGUAACCUGCCCUCUUCUUUGGGAUAACGCCCGGAAACGGGUGCUAAUACUGGAUAUUCACUUGCCUUCGCAUGGGGGUGGGUGGAAAGGGUUUUUUUCUGGUGGGGGAUGGGCUCGCGGCCUAUCAGCUUGUUGGUGGGGUGAUGGCUUACCAAGGCUUUGACGGGUAGCCGGCCUGAGAGGGUGACCGGUCACAUUGGGACUGAGAUACGGCCCAGACUCCUACGGGAGGCAGCAGUGGGGAAUAUUGCACAAUGGGCGCAAGCCUGAUGCAGCGACGCCGCGUGAGGGAUGGAGGCCUUCGGGUUGUGAACCUCUUUCGCUCAUGGUCAAGCCGCAACUCAUGGUUGUGGUGAGGGUAGUGGGUAAAGAAGCGCCGGCUAACUACGUGCCAGCAGCCGCGGUAAUACGUAGGGCGCGAGCGUUGUCCGGAAUUAUUGGGCGUAAAGGGCUUGUAGGCGGUUGGUCGCGUCUGCCGUGAAAUCCUCUGGCUUAACUGGGGGCGUGCGGUGGGUACGGGCUGACUUGAGUGCGGUAGGGGAGACUGGAACUCCUGGUGUAGCGGUGGAAUGCGCAGAUAUCAGGAAGAACACCGGUGGCGAAGGCGGGU
This 705-nucleotide ribosomal RNA is filed under the name uncultured Actinomycetes bacterium. RNAcentral describes it as "bacterial SSU rRNA". It matches the Rfam family "Bacterial small subunit ribosomal RNA", at positions 28 to 726 of the family's 1533-position model. Lineage: Bacteria; Bacillati; Actinomycetota; Actinomycetes. The record is from RNAcentral.